CCUACGGGCGGCAGCAGUGAGGAAUAUUGGUCAAUGGGCGAGAGUCUGAACCAGCCAAGUAGCGUGAAGGAUGACUGCCCUAUGGGUUGUAAGCUUCUUUUAUAUGGGAAUAAAAUGUUCCACGUGUGCCUUUUUGUAUGUACUUUAUGAAUAAGGAUCGGCUAACUCCGUGCCAGCAGCCGCGGUAAUACGGAGGAUCCGAGCGUUAUCCGGAUUUAUUGGGUUUAAAGGGAGCGUAGGUGGGUUGUUAAGUCAGUUGUGAAAGUUUGCGGCUCAACCGUAAAAUUGCAAUUGAUACUGGCAGUCUUGAGUACAGUAGAGGUAGGCGGAAUUCGUGGUGUAGCGGUGAAAUGCUUAGAUAUCACGAAGAACUCCGAUUGCGAAGGCAGCUUACUAAACUGCAACUGACACUGAUGCUCGAAAGUGUGGGUAUCAAACAGGAUUAGAUACCCUUGUAGUC
RNAcentral lists this ribosomal RNA (460 nucleotides) under uncultured bacterium. Its description in RNAcentral is "partial 16S ribosomal RNA". It matches the Rfam family "Bacterial small subunit ribosomal RNA", at positions 338 to 795 of the family's 1533-position model. The record is from RNAcentral.